GGGUCAGUAGGUUGGUCGUGCCACCGGUACGUACUGGUCUCACUGAUUCCUCCUUCCUGAAGAACCGUAAUGCCAUUAAUUUGGUGUUGCGGGGAAACAGGACUGUUACUUUGAAAAAAUUAGAGUGUUUAAAGCAAGCUAACGCUUGAAUACAUUAGCACGGAAUAAUGAAAUAGGACGAUCGAUCCUAUUUUGUUGGUUUCUAGGAUUGACGUA
RNAcentral lists this ribosomal RNA (216 nucleotides) under Glomeromycotina sp. RNAcentral describes it as "partial small subunit ribosomal RNA". The stretch from base 40 to 216 matches the Rfam family "Eukaryotic small subunit ribosomal RNA", at positions 686 to 864 of the family's 1831-position model. The record is from RNAcentral. Lineage: Eukaryota; Fungi; Glomeromycota.